GAUGAACGCUAGCGGCAGGCUUAAUACAUGCAAGUCGAGGGGCAGCACAGGUAGCAAUACUGGGUGGCGACCGGCAAACGGGUGCGGAACACGUACACAACUUACCUUAGAGUGGGGGAUAGCCCAGGGAAACUUGGAUUAAUACCCCAUAAAACAGGGGGCCCGCAUGGGCAUAUUGUUAAAGAUUUAUCGCUUUAAGAUGGGUGUGCGUAUGAUUAGGUAGUUGGUAGGGUAAAGGCCUACCAAGCCGACGAUCAUUAACUGGUGUGAGAGCACAACCAGUCAACCGGGCACUGGGACACGGGCCCGACUCCUACGGGAGGCAGAAGUAAGGAAUAUUGGUCAAUGGACGGAAGUCUGAACCAGCCAUGCCGCGUGAAGGAUGAAGGUCCUCUGGAUUGUAAACUUCUUUUAUAGGGGGCGAAAAAGGGCCUUUUUAGGUCUACUGACGGUACCCUAUGAAUAAGCACCGGCUAACUCCGUGCCAGCAGCCGCCGUAA
Molecule: ribosomal RNA, 500 nt
Filed under: uncultured bacterium
Lineage: Bacteria
Description: partial 16S ribosomal RNA
Rfam family: Bacterial small subunit ribosomal RNA
Source: RNAcentral